CCCUUAGAUGUUCUGGGCUGCACGCGCGCUACACUGAAGCGUUCAACGAGUAUUCACCUUGCCCGGGAGGGUUGGGUAAUCUUUUGAAAACGCUUCGUGAUGGGGAUAGAUUAUUGCAAUUAUUAAUCUUCAACGAGGAAUUCCUAGUAAGCGCGAGUCAUCAGCUCGUGCUGAUUACGUCCCUGCCCUUUGUACACACCGCCCGUCGCUCCUACCGAUUGAAUGGUCCGGUGAAGCGUUUGGACUAUGGUUUUCUGAUGGUCCGCCGUUGGAUUACCGUGGGAAGUUCGUUAAACCUUAUCAUUUAGAGGAAGGAGAAGUCGUAACA
RNAcentral lists this ribosomal RNA (328 nucleotides) under uncultured eukaryote. RNAcentral's name for it is "partial 18S ribosomal RNA". It matches the Rfam family "Eukaryotic small subunit ribosomal RNA", at positions 1470 to 1796 of the family's 1831-position model. The record is from RNAcentral.